Non-coding RNA from Microcebus murinus (gray mouse lemur), 3049 nucleotides. NCBI's taxonomy places the organism in Eukaryota, Metazoa, Chordata, Mammalia, Primates, Cheirogaleidae. The record is from RefSeq and is a predicted model, not a curated record.
CCUGCCCGCGCGCCCUGUCCCCGUGAGCCGGCCACCACGCCCUGUCCCCGCGGGCCGGGCCUGCCAGGGUCGGCAGCGCGGCUCCUGGCAAAGCCCGCCAGUUCCCUCAGCACCGUGGCCGCCAAGGGCCUGUGUUUUCUCCGAGACGCGGGCUUGAGAACGGCCCCGCGGUCUGGCACACACUGCGUUCUCAGAGCGAAGAGGACAGGGAGGCGCCGCUGCUCUCCGCCCGGCCCGCAGCCCGCCGCUGGGCAUCAGGCCACGCGAACGCACACCCCGAAAGGGCCUGAGGACCAUCUAAUCCAAGCCUUUCCUUCCCCAGGGAGGAAACCAAGGCAGAAAGAACACUGCCCACCGCCCUGCCGCAGCGCGCCUUCCCUCCGCUCGCUCACUUCCUAUGGGUUUUGCCUUCCGCUGAGCUUUCAAAGACCCCGUGGGCUGGGUUUGUCUUAUUUUAGAAAAUCAGUAACCGCUGCCCUUCGUGACUGAGCGGCCUCAGAUCUGGACCGGCCUAGACGGCCCUGUCGUGGCCAACUUCGGCGAAGGAGCUGGGCCCCGAACUAGGUCCGGCUCGAGUCGCGGAGCCGGUCCCAUCCCGGUCAAGGCGCAGGUUUGCACACAAGCCGCGCUUAGGAGUGGAGGUAGAACGUGAUGGAGGAAAGAUGCUGAGUCCAAAGAGGGAAGGGGCAACGGCCACCAGCUUAUGAGCAGGAGCAAGACGAGCAGUGCCUCGGUUCCAGCUGGGUGGCUGAGACCAGGAAGCCUCACCGUGGGGCUGCCCAGGUGGCCACUGACUUUCUUCCCUCCGUACGUAACUGAGGGACCCUCCCCUCACCACCAACGUCUCUGUCCCUCACAGCCUGAAAUAGCAGCACGAUUACAAUUCACAUUUCUGAUAACCGAAAUGUUAGCUCUUGUGACACUGGGGUUUUAUUUUAUUUUAAUGACAAUAUUUCUAAAGAAUGCACUUGACUCUCUUAUAACCUGCUGUGCCCACAGCCUGGCUCAUGGGCGAUGCUCUCUGGGCGACUUGGUUCAUCUCUUGUUUCCUCGGCCCCAGCUGUGCACUGCCCUUACCUACCCACCCCAACCCCGUUAAACAUGUUCUCUUAACUCUUCUCCCUGACUUCUUUUCUUGUUCUUCCAUCUACCUUCAGCUGUGAUCUCCUUUUCUACAGAGAAAGCUGAACUUUACCAUUAUCGACACUUUUGACCAAGAGAAACGGGUUCUUUCUCGUGGUACAUUUUGAUCCACACGAAGAGAACCCAGCCAGGCCCCAUGUUUUGUGCGCUCUGCCGUGACCGUCCCAAAGUCUGCAGGGACAAGGGAACAUGGCAACUCAGAGCCCUCACCCCACCCCCUAUCUCAAACGCGAUCCCCACAAUCCCUCACUCCCAUGACCCGGCCGCCAGCUUCUAGCGCCCCGCCAGCUUCUUCCCUGGGCUCUUCCUGCAGGGGAGACCACAGUGCCGGCCUGUGCAUCCCACGGCCCAGGGCGCGGGGGCCAGGGGCGGCGUCUGAGAGAAGAACGGGCAGAGCAGGGACACUGGACUGGGUGCACACACAGGCGUAGGCCUCCUGGGCAGCUAGGGCCAGCUCCUCCUGCGUGGCCAUGUUCUGGGAUGGGAACUUGAGGGCUGAGAACGCCGAGUCCUCCCAGGCCAUUAGGCAUAUUUAUCCACUUAGGAGGAUAGAACAUAUUUUAUUCAACAGUUCUUAGAUUGAUUUAUGACUUUAAAAUGAGAAAAUGCACUACAAGGCUUGUAACUUGUAACUCUUGCCCCAGACCUUGUGAAUAGGAGGGUAGGCCUGGACUCGUGUAUUAGUUGCAGUUUUAUUCACCUAGAUUUGUCCUCUCUUUUCCCAUAAAGACUCACAAAUUCUCCUGAAAUAAAUUAAAGGAGAUUAGAGUAGCUUGUUUGGCCUGGACUCGAGAUUAAAACGCAUAAGCAAACUUCCACCAGGAACUCUAUUUGCAGAUUUCCUCUGCCUCUCCAAUUCAUCAAACCUAAGUUCUCAAAGUCCAGAUAUUCCAAAAGCAACUUUUAAAGGACUUCUUUAUACUUAGGUUGCUGAGCUUAUCUGAAGUAUGACUAACUCCACAAGUGCAUACUCAGGGAAUUCUUUCCCAUCCUGCUGAUGACUCAGAAGGACCCGAUUUGCUCUAAUGAAUUUUCUUGAUCUCACAAAAGUAGUGCAUGUAUUCUGUACUGCAGACUCUGGGUUGAGUGCCCUUGCACUGGUAGUGAGUUUAUCCACUAUAACGCUUACUCUCCAAGUGGAAGCGAAGCCUGCUAGUUUCUCAUGACAUGCAUUAUUAGGUACUCACAGGAAACAGCAGUUUGCCAAUUGGAAAAAGUUAUUGCCUAGUGUCACUCUGGGAAAAGUGUUCCUGUGACCUAAACUUACACUUAAGAGUAGAAUGGCUAAGAAAAACUUUUAUUGAUAUAGAAGUGUGUGAAUACUGAGUUUUUAUGCCACCAAGCUCUUUUGAAUUUGCAAUAACAUCAUUAAUAGACAGACCUUUGCAAUCCAUCUGCCAUAUUUUUAAAUUAUAGACACACAUGUAUUUGGUGUGAUUAUUUUAAGUAGUAUAUAGGAGGCUCUAAAGAAAGUAUUUCCUCUGACUGAAGAAGGCUUCCUUCUUCCUCAUUUCUGAAAUGUAUCUCAUGUCCAAAUAUUGAAGGUUCAUUCUGAAAAUAAUGAACAUGCCUUUAUCUUAACUGACUUUAGAAAAGUGAAAGAAAUCCUUUCAGUUUGGGGGAGCCAGUACAAAGUCAAGCAUGCUUGAAAUUCAAUUCUGGCCAGCCCACCAACUAACUAUAAAACCUCAGGAAAAGUACUUAAAUUUCUGUAAGUCUGUGGCCUCAUCUGUCAAAUGGAGGUAGUGAUACCUACUUUAUUAUUUUUUUCUAAGAAUUAGAUAAUAGCAGACAUGUAGAGUUUGGCACGGUGCCUAGCUAACAGUAAGCACUCAAUAAUAUAUCUGUAAUAUUGUUGUCAUUGGUUUCUGAAAUUUGCUAUUAUUGAAGUAUAUCAACUCUGCAA